GAUGAACGCUGGCGGCGUGCCUAAUACAUGCAAGUCGAGCGAACGGACGAGAAGCUUGCUUCUCUGAUGUUAGCGGCGGACGGGUGAGUAACACGUGGCUAACCUACCUAUAAGACUGGGAUAACUUCGGGAAACCGGAGCUAAUACCGGAUGAUAUUUUGAACCGCAUGGUUCAAAAGUGAAAGACGGUCUUGCUGUCACUUAUAGAUGGAUCCGCGGUGCAUUAGCUAGUUGGUAAGGUAACGGCUUACCAAGGCGACGAUGCAUAGCUGACCUGAGAGGGUGAUCGGCCACACUGGAACUGAGACACGGUCCAGACUCCUACGGGAGGCAGCAGUAGGGAAUCUUCGGCAAUGGGCGAAAGCCUGACGGAGCAACGCCGCGUGAGUGAUGAAGGUCUUCGGAUCGUAAAACUCUGUUAUUAGGGAAGAACAUAUGUGUAAGUAACUGUGCACAUCUUGACGGUACCUAAUCAGAAAGCCACGGCUAACUACGUG
This 497-nucleotide ribosomal RNA is filed under the name uncultured bacterium. RNAcentral's name for it is "partial 16S ribosomal RNA". It matches the Rfam family "Bacterial small subunit ribosomal RNA", at positions 28 to 507 of the family's 1533-position model. The record is from RNAcentral.